Non-coding RNA from Cajanus cajan (pigeon pea), 118 nucleotides. NCBI's taxonomy places the organism in Eukaryota, Viridiplantae, Streptophyta, Magnoliopsida, Fabales, Fabaceae. The record is from Rfam.
CUAUCCCCUAGAGUUCCUCUGACCACUUCAUUGUGCUUAUUGCUUGCAAAUUCAGAGAAUCAAAAUUCUCAAAGCAUGCAUGCACUACUGAAGUGUUUGGGGGAACUCCGGGUGCCAA